RNAcentral lists this ribosomal RNA (377 nucleotides) under uncultured bacterium. RNAcentral's name for it is "bacterial SSU rRNA". It matches the Rfam family "Bacterial small subunit ribosomal RNA", at positions 523 to 898 of the family's 1533-position model. The record is from RNAcentral.
CCACGUAGGGGGCGAGCGUUGUCCGGAAUUACUGGGCGUAAAGGGCGUGUAGGCGGUCUAUUAAGUCAGGCGUGAAAACCCUGGGCUUAACCUGGGGACUGCGUUUGAAACUGGUAGGCUUGAGGGCAGGAGAGGAAAGUGGAAUUCCCGGUGUAGCGGUGAUAUGCGUAGAUAUCGGGAGGAACACCAGUGGCGAAGGCGGCUUUCUGGACUGCACCUGACGCUGAGGCGCGAAAGCCAGGGGAGCGAACGGGAUUAGAUACCCCGGUAGUCCUGGCCGUAAACGAUGGGUACUAGGUGUGGGAGGUAUCGACUCCUUCCGUGCCGGAGUUAACACAAUAAGUACCCCGCCUGGGGAGUGCGGCCGCAAGGCUGAA